UUUAAAAUGAUUAUUUUAAAAAAUUAAAAAAAAUAUUUUUAAUUUUUAUUAGUAUUUUAUGAAAAAAUUAUUUAAAUUAUAGUUUAUUAGUAUAGUGAUAGAAUUUUAAUUAAAAUAUUAUUAGAAAAAUUAAUUUUUUGUACCUUGUGUAUCAGGGUUUAUUAAUUAAAUUUUACUUAUAAAGUAAAUUUCUCGAUUUUAAAAGAGUUAAUUGGUUAUGUAUUUUAUUGUAGAAUAAAUAUUUAAAAUAAACAAUUAGUAAUGAAACGUUAUUCGUUUUUAAAUAUAUCUAGUUUUUAAAGAAAAAAAUUUAAUUUUAUAUACAUAAAUAUUUUACUUUUUUUAUAAAUGAAAAUUUUAUGUAAAUUAUAGUAUUUGGGAUAAGCUAAAUAUUAGAAUUUUAUAAGUAUUAAUAAAUUAUGAAAAAUGUAGAAUUAGAAAUUUUCAUCAUUUAGUUUGUUAUAAUUAAUUAAUUUUUGUAAAUAAAGAUUUAUAUUUACUUUAAAUAUUUUAUUUAAAUAUUAAAUUUAAUAAUAAAUUUAAGAAAUUAUGAUAAAAUUAGUAUAAAUUUAUGUAAAAAUUAGUUAAAGUUUUUAUGUUAUAAAAAGGAAUUCGGCAAAAAUAUUUUUCGCCUGUUUAUUAAAAACAUGUCUUUUUGAUUUUAAUUUAAAGUCUAGCCUGCCCAAUGAGUAGUUGAAUGGCCGCAGUAUUUUGACUGUGCAAAGGUAGCAUAAUCAUUAGUUUCUUAAUUAGAAACUGGAAUGAAAGGUUGGACGAGAAAAUAUCUGUCUCUUUAUAAAUUUUUUAGAAUUUUAUUUUUAAGUUAAAAAGCUUAAAUUUGUUUAAAAGACGAGAAGACCCUAUAGAGUUUUAUAUAAUUAUAUUUAGUAGUUAGGGUUGAAUUAUUAAAAUUUUAUUUAUAAUUAUAUUUAAUUGGGGUGAUUAAAAAAUUUAUAAAACUUUUUUUAAAAAUAAACAUUGAUUUAUGAAUAUUUGAUCCAUUUUUUAUGAUUAAAAGAUUAAAUUACCUUAGGGAUAACAGCGUAAUUUCUUUUUAGAGUUCUAAUCGAUAAAGAAGUUUGCGACCUCGAUGUUGGAUUAAAAUUAAUUUUUGGUGUAGCUGCUAAAACAUUAGGUCUGUUCGACCUUUAAAAUUUUACAUGAUCUGAGUUUAAACCGGUGUGAGCCAGGUUGGUUUCUAUCUUUAAAAAAUUAAAAUAUUUUAGUACGAAAGGACCAAAUAUU
RNAcentral lists this ribosomal RNA (1245 nucleotides) under Atheta sp. 1 EF-2015. RNAcentral describes it as "16S ribosomal RNA". The stretch from base 1035 to 1193 matches the Rfam family "Archaeal large subunit ribosomal RNA", at positions 2542 to 2701 of the family's 2987-position model. Lineage: Eukaryota; Metazoa; Arthropoda; Insecta; Coleoptera; Staphylinidae. The record is from RNAcentral.